RNAcentral lists this ribosomal RNA (374 nucleotides) under uncultured organism. RNAcentral's name for it is "bacterial SSU rRNA". It matches the Rfam family "Bacterial small subunit ribosomal RNA", at positions 526 to 896 of the family's 1533-position model. The record is from RNAcentral.
CAGAGGGUGCGAGCGUUGUUCGGAAUUACUGGGCGUAAAGCGCGCGCAGGCGGUCCUUUAAGUCUACCCGUGAAAUGCCGGAGCUCAACUCCGUGCACGCCGGGGGAUACUGGAGGACUGGAGACGAGUAGAGGCAAGCGGAAUUCCGGGUGUAGCGGUGGAAUGCGUAGAGAUCCGGAAGAACACCGGAGGCGAAGGCGGCUUGCUGGGCUUGGUCUGACGCUGAGGCGCGAAAGCGCGGGGAGCGAACAGGAUUAGAUACCCUGGUAGUCCACGCCGUAAACGAUGGGCACUAGACGCGGGUGGGAUCGACCCCUUCCGUGUCGCAGCUAACGCGCUAAGUGCCCCGCCUGGGGAGUACGGCCGCAAGGCUG